Molecule: ribosomal RNA, 254 nt
Filed under: uncultured bacterium
Lineage: Bacteria
Description: partial 16S ribosomal RNA
Rfam family: Bacterial small subunit ribosomal RNA
Source: RNAcentral
UACAGGGGGUGCAAACGUUGCUCGGAAUCAUUGGGCGUAAAGCGCACGUAGGCGGUUCGUUAUGUCGGAUGUGAAAGCCCUUGGCUUAACCGAGGAAGUGCAUCCGAAACUGGCGAGCUAGAGUACGAAAGAGGAUCGCGGAAUUCCCGGUGUAGAGGUGAAAAUUCGUAGAUAUCGGGAGGAACACCGGUGGCGAAGGCGGCGAUCUGGGUCGAUACUGACGCUGAGGUGCGAAAGCGUGGGGAGCAAACAGG